ACAUGCAAGUCGAGGGGAAACGACAUCGAAAGCUUGCUUUUGAUGGGCGUCGACCGGCGCACGGGUGAGUAACGCGUAUCCAACCUGCCCACCACUUGGGGAUAACCUUGCGAAAGUAAGACUAAUACCCAAUGAUAUCUCUAGAAGACAUCUGAAAGAGAUUAAAGAUUUACCGGUGAUGGAUGGGGAUGCGUCUGAUUAGCUUGUUGGCGGGGUAACGGCCCACCAAGGCGACGAUCAGUAGGGGUUCUGAGAGGAAGGUCCCCCACAUUGGAACUGAGACACGGUCCAAACUCCUACGGGAGGCAGCAGUGAGGAAUAUUGGUCAAUGGACGAGAGUCUGAACCAGCCAAGUAGCGUGCAGGAAGACGGCCCUAUGGGUUGUAAACUGCUUUUAUAAGGGAAUAAAGUGAGUCUCGUGAGACUUUUUGCAUGUACCUUAUGAAUAAGGACCGGCUAAUUCCGUGCCAGCAGCCGCGGUAAUACGGAAGGUCCGGGCGUUAUCCGGAUUUAUUGGGUUUAAAGGGAGCGUAGGCCGGAGAUUAAGCGUGUUGUGAAAUGUAGACGCUCAACGUCUGCACUGCAGCGCGAACUGGUCUUCUUGAGUACGCACAACGUGGGCGGAAUUCGUGGUGUAGCGGUGAAAUGCUUAGAUAUCACGAAGAACUCCGAUUGCGAAGGCAGCUCACGGGAGCGCAACUGACGCUGAAGCUCGAAAGUGCGGGUAUCGAACAGGAUUAGAUACCCUGGUAGUCCGCACGGUAAACGAUGGAUGCCCGCUGUUGGCCUGAAUAGGUCAGCGGCCAAGCGAAAGCAUUAAGCAUCCCACCUGGGGAGUACGCCGGCAACGGUGAAACUCAAAGGAAUUGACGGGGGCCCCACAAGCGGAGGAACAUGUGGUUUAAUUCGAUGAUACGCGAGGAACCUUACC
This 931-nucleotide ribosomal RNA is filed under the name uncultured bacterium. RNAcentral's name for it is "bacterial SSU rRNA". It matches the Rfam family "Bacterial small subunit ribosomal RNA", at positions 53 to 975 of the family's 1533-position model. The record is from RNAcentral.